This 254-nucleotide ribosomal RNA is filed under the name uncultured bacterium. RNAcentral describes it as "partial 16S ribosomal RNA". It matches the Rfam family "Bacterial small subunit ribosomal RNA", at positions 524 to 776 of the family's 1533-position model. The record is from RNAcentral.
UACGUAGGUGGCAAGCGUUGUCCGGAUUUAUUGGGCGUAAAGAGCUCGUAGGCGGCUCAGUAAGUCGGAUGUGAAAACUCGGGGCUCAACCCCGAGACGCCAUCCGAUACUGCUGUGGCUUGAGUCUGGUAGGGGAACACGGAAUUCCUGGUGUAGCGGUGAAAUGCGCAGAUAUCAGGAGGAACACCGAUGGCGAAGGCAGUGUUCUGGGCCAGUACUGACGCUGAGGAGCGAAAGCGUGGGUAGCAAACAGG